GCUCAGCAGUUGACUGUUGUAAAGAGAGACAGCAGAGGUCAACAGUAGAUCAGAUACAAAUAGAUUUCACGAGGUGCAAAACACAACUGCAGGUCUGC
Long non-coding RNA from Etheostoma cragini (Arkansas darter), 98 nucleotides. RefSeq lists it as uncharacterized. Lineage: Eukaryota; Metazoa; Chordata; Actinopteri; Perciformes; Percidae. The transcript has 3 exons. The record is from RefSeq and is a predicted model, not a curated record.